Molecule: long non-coding RNA, 1772 nt
Organism: Phragmites australis (common reed)
Lineage: Eukaryota; Viridiplantae; Streptophyta; Magnoliopsida; Poales; Poaceae
Exons: 4
Source: RefSeq, a predicted model, not a curated record
UUGGGAGAAAUAUCUGAGUUGCGUGUGGAUCAUGCGGACAUGUUCAUGAACUGAGUUGUAACAGACCCGUAUGGGCGACAUGCUGUUCUUCCUCGUUUUCCAGCAUAAUUCCACCGAUUUUCCCCAAACUUCUUCAUGUGUUCUCGAUUUUCCUCUGCUGUUUGUCUCGGAGUCGAAUUGGUCGUGUCACCCUUGCCCUCGAUAGGAUCUACUCCCUCCCACCCUAGAUUUUCCCCUGUGAUUUUGCUGUGGUUGGUGCUUCCGCGUUGUUAUUUUUUGCGGUAGCUAGGGUUGAAGUCCGUGUAUUUUGUGAUGUUAUCACGUAAGAGAGAUUGAUCUGCAAUCUGGAGCUGCUGAUGUAUGGUAUGCAGGCAGUGUUGGUCGGGGAUACCUGUCGUAUGCUGUGCAGAUAUAUUUGCAAUCGGGUUGAUUAGGUCCUUGUUUAGUAUUAGAUGUUCCUUUCUCUUGGGUGCAAUUGCUUACGCAGUAGUGCUGCUUUGGCUGUUGUGUGAUGAUGUAUGUAAGUUGUAAUUAGUAUUUUUAUAGGUGUUUCAUUGUAAUACAGGAUUGGGUGAGGACAAUGUAUCUCCAUUGUUUUUUCUGAAGCUGGAAACGAGUACCCACCUUCUUAUGGAAUUUGUUUGCUGAUUUGCUUUUUACAGGCCAGAGCUGCUAGGAAUCUGUGGGUUGGUGGCAUUAGCCCAUCGGUUUCAAAGGAGGAGCUCCAAAAGUUUGGAAAAAUUGAAGGUGUUGCAUUCUCCCUGGAUCAGACUUCUACAUACAUUGAUUUCGAGAAGCUCGAAGAUGCAAUUUCUGCACACAUAUCCUUGAAUGGAAAAAUUUUAGGCGGCACGGAAUUGUGUGUUGAUUUCCAGAGGUCCAAGGGAAUGGUCAGAGGCAAGCAACUUCAGCGGUAGAGUAUCAGGGCCACCGGGUGAAAAGAGAGGCACUGGUCCUGCAAAGGGUUCCACUGGAAUACGAAUGCGAGAAGCACAGCCAACCUAUGUUCUCUGGGUUGGUUUCCCGGGUUCAUCUAAAGUUAUUGAUUAGGAAGCGCUUCAGCAAGCCAUGGUACCAUACGGUGUGGGGAAGCUGUUGUUCUUGCUCAUGGAUAUGGCGCAUGCUCUUACUAUGACAUUGCAAACCAUGAGUUCAAGACCGAAUACAAGCCUCCCAACAUGGUAUCAAAUAAUAUGUGGGGUUAUUGCUGGUUGAUUCGUGCCCCAGGUGUAGAUGGAUGCUCUGGAAGAUAUGUUGUUGCGGCAUCAGCUGGCAAUGCAUUGGAGCCUGGUUUUUGCAGCUGGGACUAUUAUACUAGAGAAGUAAAAGCAUUUCAUGUUGAAGAGGAGAUGUCACAUGCUUCUAAUGUAGGUCCAGGGCUGUUCUUGGGCCUCUUUCUAAUGUAGGUCCAUCAAGAUCUAGCUCUGCAUUGCCAAAUGUAGAAAUACAGCAAUGGUGGUAUAGACCCUGUGGUCCUCCUCCUUUCUACUGCUAGCAAGCAAAAGAUGGUCACAGCUUAUGAUACCCGUGAUGGUGAUCUAGUCAUGAAAUAGGAAGUGAACAACCCAGUAAUGGGAAUGGAAUACUCCAGCCCACUACAAUGGCGUAGCAAGGGAAAAGUAGUAAUUGCUGGGAAUGAGUCGAUAGGUUUGUGGGAUGUGAAUUCGCUUAACCCACAACCCUUAUUAUUUGUUUCUUCUUCUGCUAAGAAAGUGUGCUGCGCCUUCAUGCGAAUAACACUGAUGCUGAGGUGGGUGGCGGAGUUCGUCAAA